Molecule: non-coding RNA, 2260 nt
Organism: Dermacentor andersoni
Lineage: Eukaryota; Metazoa; Arthropoda; Arachnida; Ixodida; Ixodidae
Source: RefSeq, a predicted model, not a curated record
UCGAGCGAGAGAAAGUUGCGUCGUCGGACGAUAUUUACUGCGCGCUGGCAUUAAUCUUACCGGUGUUCGUAAGACGCGAAUAAAGAAUCUUUCGGGUAUACAUCCGACUGCCUGACACUGCGUGAAAUGCGCGAGUCGACGCCAACCACAAUAUACAGCGCAAUGUCGAUGCAUACGCGCGAGAGACAGUUUCAUGUGAAGUUUCUCCAAGGCGGUCUAGCCUCUCUGUUCUUUUUUUUUUCUUUUCUCGGCACGCAGCCCUACGCAGAUUUUCUCGCAACGAUCGCGUGAUAUGGCGCUCUAUGAGCUUGGUGCUUCGGUAAACGCUCAUUGGGGGCUUUCGGAAAGCGCCUGUAGAGAGACACGUUUCUGGGAACCAUCAAGCGCAAUUUGGAUCAUUCAACGGGUACGUGCGCUUGUGAGAACGCAGGGUGUGUCUUACGUGUUGGCAAGAAAAAAAAAAGGAAAAAGAAAGAAAGGCGGGCUCAGACGUACGCCAUGCAGUUCGCUGUUCUGCGACCGACCUUUUAAAACAUAUUAGUUGAAUUGUGGCUGAUGUUUCGUCUCUUCUCACGUUUAAUUUCAACUGUAGCGCUGAAAUACAUACCUCAAUAUAUCUGUUGACUUUCUAGACAUCUUUGUAAUGAUCGUCACACCCAUCAAACAAUAUUUCACGAUUAGAAGACGAACUAUCCAUAGUUUUAUUCGGGAAACGACGCAUGAAGCUUAACUCAACGUCUCUGUGUAUAAAAGCGCUGGACAAACUGCGCCGCACAUAAAAUGACUGCAGCUUAUGUGGAGCAGUGCAACUACAACCACGUAAUAAAGAACUAGCUACAACUGCUAUCUCGACAGGGUUUCACAAUUCACCACUGCGUCAGUCGCCCUGGUCAGGGUCAACGCCUUUCAUUCGUUUCAGCCAACGUACAUAGAUGGCGCCACCAUUGCCGCGCUCGGCAAUGUUGCCGUUAGGCAUAUGGGGCCGAGGAUACGUGACGUCGCCGGGUAACUUUCGUUACUUUCGUGGUGGUUUCUUGGAAAUGGCUCCGGCGUUGAGCUAAAGAAAACCCCCGUUUGCUUGUCUGUGUGCUCAGGAAAUGUGCGCCGUCAAUAUUUUUUGCGUGUGUUGUGAACUGAAUUGACCCACGGUGCCAAUUCUGUGCCCGAGGAGUACUGACCGAACUCCGAUCGGGCCCGACGGCCCCGUGCGGGCGCUGCCAGCCGACCUAGGUGAGGCUGCUUCAGCGUACCGUAGGACCCGCGCCAACGUAUGCUGCACUGGGAACAGCUUCUUUCGCAUAAAUUUGAAAGAAGUCUUGAGGGACCAAAGCGGCGCAAGGAAAACGUAAGUUCGUGUUUUUAAGUUUCCGCUGCACGCAGCCAUUUUAGGACGCGUUUUGGAGGGCACGAAGAGCGGUCGUUACGUAAACUGUUGUCGUAGGGAGGCGCGUGCAAACACGGUGGCGUCCGCCCGUAUCGUUUACUCGUGACCCUGAGUGGUUUAAAUAUAGGCUGCCUGGCGUAUCGGUCUUGAGUGUCAUGUGGUUCGCCGGAAAUGUGUGCGCCGCGUGUGCUAUGAGUUUCAGCUUGUGUUAUUUGCCUCCUUUGGAAGGUUAACCGGCAGGUUAACAGAUGGGAAGGUCCCGUUUGCUACCCUACGCUAGGAUGAGAGGGGAGGGGGAGGUAAAGUGGUAACAAAGUAAAGAUAAAGAAAGGAAGAAAGAAAGAAAGAAAGAAGGAAAGAAAGGAGCAUAGUCAUAAAAUCACAGUCCGUCACUGUCACCGCAUACCGUCACCGCACAGCACAGUAGCACUCGCAGCACUGUAAGCAUCUGUUCAAGCUACAGCCGCUUGUCGAAUUCUGUUGGCCUUAAAAACUGCAACAGUGCCCUCGUCGUACUCAGUUUUGUCCUGCAAGGUUGCAAAAGGGGCUACUAGAGAAACGAAAGCCUUGUACGAGAGAGAGAGAGAGAGAGAGAGAGAGAGAGAGAGAGAGAGAGAGAGAGAGAGAGCAUUUCUCUACAGCACGAGGUCGCGGAAUCAUAUCCCGGCCGCAGCGCGGCUGCAUUUCGAUGGGGGCUACACAUGCAAAAAUACCCUUCUCCCGUGCAUUGGGAAAACUUUAAAGAUCCCCAGGUGGUCAAAAUUAAUUCGUUGUCCCCCAAUGACAAUGUGCCUCAUAAUAAAUCGUGGUUCUUGCGCGUGAAACCCUAGCAUUCCAAAAUAAUUUGAGCUGUAUCAGCAAAUUGCCAUGCUACAA